Non-coding RNA from Acanthosepion pharaonis, 112 nucleotides. NCBI's taxonomy places the organism in Eukaryota, Metazoa, Mollusca, Cephalopoda, Sepiida, Sepiidae. The record is from the annotation of a GenBank genome assembly.
UUACGGUCACAUCACAUUGAAACACCGGUUCCUGUACGAUCACCGAGUUAAGCAACGUCGAGCCUGAUCAGUAACUAGAUGGGUGACCGUUUAGAAAUAGCAAGUGUAGUAA